AGAAAUUCAUUGACGAGAACGAGUACGCUGAUCCCUUGUUCCCCAGAGAGUUGGCCCCGCGCUGAAAGCCAAUGGACAAGAAUGAGCAGAAAAUCCUCUCCGAGAAGGAAAGCUGAAGCAGGCUAGUAAGCUGACCCGGGAUCCCGCCGUUACAAGGGACGCGUAUGAUCGUACGCAGACGAGGUGCCGCAUGGCUUUUAUCCACAAGGCUUUGGCGGAACAAGGGUGGUAGCGCGAGAUACAAUCUCGUCCCUUAC
Molecule: non-coding RNA, 257 nt
Filed under: Paenibacillus sp.
Lineage: Bacteria; Bacillati; Bacillota; Bacilli; Caryophanales; Paenibacillaceae
Description: T-box sequence
Rfam family: T-box leader
About the family: Uncharged tRNA acts as the effector for transcription antitermination of genes in the T-box leader family. T-boxes are found upstream of many aminoacyl-tRNA synthetase genes and some amino acid biosynthetic genes usually in Gram-positive bacteria. The anticodon of a specific tRNA base pairs to a specifier sequence within the T-box motif, and the NCCA acceptor tail of the tRNA base pairs to a conserved bulge in the T-box antiterminator hairpin.
Source: RNAcentral